RNA transcript from Papaver somniferum (opium poppy), 1882 nucleotides. RefSeq lists it as uncharacterized. The transcript has 2 exons. Lineage: Eukaryota; Viridiplantae; Streptophyta; Magnoliopsida; Ranunculales; Papaveraceae. The record is from RefSeq and is a predicted model, not a curated record.
GACUACUGUGUGUGAGUGCGGCCGCCACUGUGGGGGAAAAACAAGUAACCGGAGCUAUCUGUUUCCCUGAUCAGAUGUGUCAUGGGUUUUGGUUUAUAGAUGGCUUGAUGGAGAUCAAAGAAGCAGAUAUUUGAAAUCGUUUCAGAUGUUCAAUUUCAUCAGUAACUUUGGGAUGAGACUAUGGUGUCCCAUACAGUGAAAUGAAAAUUUUGAGGCAGUGGAGUGAAUCUUUGGAAGUUUAUGAAAUAUGAGUUGUAUGGUUUAUCGAAUCAAACAGGAUAAUCAUCAGAUUAAGCAAUUAGGGUUAUGUUAAGCUUUGAUACAUAUUGGGGGUUUCUCCGACAUUUGAAAUGUUCUGUUGCAAUUUGGUUAGGCUUCCAUUGGCUGCGGGAAACUACAAUGUGGCAGAUAGUGGGCAUUGUAUCAUGGUAUAAAGUUGUUUCUAACAGGCGUUCUUUGAAUUUUGACAUUUUUUCCUAUAUAUGCAGAUAUCCCUAUUAUUUUUUCACUGAAUUAGUUCUGUUUGUGACGUCAAUUCAUAUUUACUCAACAGUAUGACUAGGCAAAUAUUUACAAGCACCAUACUUGCUUUCUUACAUUGUUUUGUGGGAGUGUGUUAGUGAUUGUUGGUUGGUGGAACAACUAAAGAAUGCGAGUGAAAUUUGUUAGGGAUUUUUAAUUUUGGUAUAUAUGGGUUGCGUUGAGCUGCAUCUGUAGAAGGAACAGAAUGUAUACUGUUGUAGCUUUAACCUGAGUAGCCAUGCUUCUUGCCCAUGGUUCAGUAAAAUGGCGGAAAGCCUUGAUCCAUUGUUGAGGUUUUCAGUUUGCUUUCUCUGCAGAACUGUUGUUCUGGGUUACGUUUUAUCAAUUUGUUCAUUUUGCUUUCUGUCCAGAAAGGCAGAAAGCAAUGUCAUUGUGCUUGACCUUAUCAAUUUGUUGUGCACUACGUUUUAUGCUUUUAUUUUGCUUUCUCUCCAGAACUGUUUAAAUAGUAAUCUUCAUGUAUAACUUGCUUUCAUGUCGUUAAUUGCAUCUUGUUGUUUAGUCACGAUGGCAUCCUAAAAUGCAUGUUACUUUGAGCAUAUGCUUCUGAUGUGUAUCUAUCUGUAGCUUGCCUUUUAAAUUCAAUAAACAUUAAUAAUGUUCACUCUCAGUACGCAAAAACAGAUCCCAACAUCACUGCAACAGCAAAUCAGGAUAUUUCAGCAAUCCGAAGCUGCUUCCCAUCCACCGGUUUUGUACCCCAACUAAAUACACCCCUAUGUGUCAUGGAUGGCAGCCGUUGAUGGGAAAUGGUGGGUCUGGGAGAGGUUUCGGGGGACCAGUACGGGGUGGGCACAUAGCCAGGGUAUGUUUUUGGGGUAUAAAACCGGUGGAUGGGAAGCAUUUUAGGAAUCAAUGUUACAGUCUUCUGAUGUCAGUGAAGGCUUGCAGCCGGGGUAUAAAACCGUUGAUGGGAAAUGGUGGGUCUGAGAGAGGUUUCGGGGGACCAGUACGAGGUGGGCACAUAGCCGGGGUAUGUUUUUGGGGUAUAAAACCGGUGGAUGGGAAGCAUUUUCGGAAUCAAUGUUACAGUCUUCUGAUGUCAGUGAAGGCUUGCAGCUCUUACUGUAAUGAAGAACACAUAAUCGUGAGUUUCUGAAAUCAAUAUUACAGUCUUCUGAUAUAAGUGCGGGCUUUUAGCUCUUGCUCAGGGCUAAUCUAAGAUUCUAUGUAAUUGUCUUUUAUAACGAGAAUGACUAUGUUUGAGUACUUGUUACUGCUGAAGAUAUCCUUUGUAACGGGAUAGUUGCAGCACUAGUCCUUUUUUAGUUCUUUCUUCCCGUUUUGUCUGUCAAAAGAAUAUUAAUCAGCAAUAGCAUAUAAUUGAAUAAUUUGGGAA